Long non-coding RNA from Pipistrellus kuhlii (Kuhl's pipistrelle), 611 nucleotides. RefSeq lists it as uncharacterized. The transcript has 3 exons. NCBI's taxonomy places the organism in Eukaryota, Metazoa, Chordata, Mammalia, Chiroptera, Vespertilionidae. The record is from RefSeq and is a predicted model, not a curated record.
AGAAGAGAAACCCAGGAGUGAGGGCGCCCAGGUGUCCAGGAGAGACCGUACUGACCUUGGACACAAGAGUACCACCUCUGAUGGAGGUGCCACAACGUCACUAGAAAACUAAUUUCAAUCACAAACAUUUUAUGGAGCAAAUUCUGCGUGGUUGCAAAUGUAACCAUUAGCUCUACUCCACCCCAGACCACUAGUCCUAUAUCUUCAGAUUGUGUCUAUCUUUUUAAAACUAAACUCUUCACAGUGAACUUGUAGCCUAUUAUAAAAUUCCCAUAGUUUUUUAAAAAAAUUGUUUUUAAUCAAAGUGCACCUUAGGUUAAUUCUCCCAUGGCCUGCCUUAGUUUACUUUAAGAUAAGUUUAAUCUUCACAAAGCCUCUCUCGGGUAUUCUCAUUUUACGGAGGCUCAGAGAAGGAAACAGAAGCUCACAGCAGCUCCUGCAGGUGGCUGAAGCAUGGAAAUGAUUAUGACCCAACUUUGACCAUACAACUAAGGACAACAACUAUGGAUGAUGACACAAGGACAGUAUCUUAUGGGUGAUGACAGGCUACAAGAUGGGAAGAAGCCAGAUGCCCACCUAACUGAUGGAGAAGUAAAUAAAUCGAAUCUUCA